AGCUUAUCUUGCGCAGCUUAGGUGGGAGGCUAUGAACCUUUUCUUCUGGGAAGAGGGGAGCCAUCAGUGAGAUACCACUCUUGGUAAGCUAGAACGCUCAGUCUUCACCGUCAUCCGGUAAGACGACAGUUUCAGGCGGGCAGUUUGACUGGGGCAGUCACCCCCCAAAAGGUAAUGGAGGUGUGCAAAGGUUCCCUCAGGCUGGACGGAAAUCAGCCAUAGAGUGUAAAAGCAUAAGGGAGCUUGACUGCGAGACUGACAUGUCAAGCAGAGACGAAAGUCGGCUUUAGUGAUCCGACGGUGCUGUGUGGAAAGGCCGUCGCUCAACGGGUAAAAGUUACUCUAGGGAUAACA
This 354-nucleotide ribosomal RNA is filed under the name uncultured eukaryote. RNAcentral's name for it is "LSU rRNA". It matches the Rfam family "Bacterial large subunit ribosomal RNA", at positions 2126 to 2479 of the family's 2925-position model. The record is from RNAcentral.